Molecule: long non-coding RNA, 414 nt
Filed under: Panax ginseng (ginseng)
Lineage: Eukaryota; Viridiplantae; Streptophyta; Magnoliopsida; Apiales; Araliaceae
Description: long non-coding RNA (PGIN_LNC007751)
Source: RNAcentral
AUAUAUAUAUAUAUAUAGGGGAGCGAUCCAUAGCAUCUAUAUGCUAUGGGAUAAAAAAUGGCAUAUAGGCUCUAAUCCGUCCGUUUUAUUGAUGAAAGGCUGCGAUCAAAUUUGGGCUUACACCAUCCGCUAGUAUUACUAGCGGACGCAAUUAGUAUAAAUUCUGGACACUUAAGACCCUCCAGUUUACCCUCCAAUAGAUGUGUAGUACAGGUUCCGCUAGUAAUACUAGCGGACUUAAAAUUUUGUGUGAAAGGUGACCUAAUACAUAUAUAUUUACAAGAACACACACGAAUGCUUGAAACACUAAAGUUGUAUACUUAAAUAUUUUAGAACAUCCAUGCAUGGUGAAAUAAAUCAUUUUUUUGUCCAACUUUGGCUACUGAAUCUGCUAGAUCACUGACUUGAUAUACA